This 253-nucleotide ribosomal RNA is filed under the name uncultured bacterium. Its description in RNAcentral is "partial 16S ribosomal RNA". It matches the Rfam family "Bacterial small subunit ribosomal RNA", at positions 524 to 776 of the family's 1533-position model. The record is from RNAcentral.
AACGGAGGGGACAAGCGUUAUCCGGAUUUACUGGGCGUAAAGCGCAUGUAGGUGGCUUGGAAAGUUGGAUGUGAAAGCUCCUGGCUUAACUGGGAGAGGUCAUUCAAAACUGGCAAGCUAGAGGUUGGAAGAGGAGAGCGGAAUUCCCGGUGUAGUGGUGGAAUGCGUAGAUAUCGGGAGGAACACCAGUGGCGAAAGCGGCUCUCUGGUCCAAUACUGACAAUGAGAUGCGAAAGCGUGGGGAGCGAACGGG